AGCGCAGGCGGACCGGCAAGUUGGAAGUGAAAACUAUGGGCUCAACCCAUAAAUUGCUUUCAAAACUGCUGGCCUUGAGUAGUGCAGAGGUAGGUGGAAUUCCCGGUGUAGCGGUGGAAUGCGUAGAUAUCGGGAGGAACACCAGUGGCGAAGGCGGUCUACUGGGCACCAACUGACGCUGAGGCUCGAAAGCAUGGGUAACAAACA
This 207-nucleotide ribosomal RNA is filed under the name uncultured bacterium. Its description in RNAcentral is "partial 16S ribosomal RNA". It matches the Rfam family "Bacterial small subunit ribosomal RNA", at positions 568 to 774 of the family's 1533-position model. The record is from RNAcentral.